GUUCUCAAGCUCUCGCGAGAACUGUAGUCAGAACGCUCGAAUUAUCGCGAGCUUUGAUUAAAGGAUGAGUGAUGAUUUGAAUAUGAACGACAUCUAGCGGUGAACUAAGUAACGGUCACAUUUAAAGGCCCGUCACAAGGAAAGCUGCCGUCAAAAAACGGGCGGGGCUGUCCUGGCUGUCAUCCGUGUCCUCGCUGUCCUCGGCUCCACCCCCUCCUUCUUCGUCCGACGAGUCGUCCAGAGUCAGAUCCACCACGGCUCCGCCUCCUGACCCGGUGCCGGUGCCGCCGGUUCCUGCCGACGCACCACCUGAUCCAGGCUUGCCAGUCUGGUUUGUGCCGCUGUGUGCUGGGGAGUGGCCGUUCGCCUCAGGAACACCUUGGAUGAGAGGUCACAUUUCAGAAGGAAGAAAACCUUCUUACAUAUAUCCACCACAGGAUAGUCGGGUGUGCGGCUGUUUUCCCGCUCUCUUUCCUUCUCUUUGUCAUCCCUUAUUGGCCUCCACGAGCCGUCAGUCAAAUACUCGAUCUCCUCCACAUCCUCCGGAGUCUCUUUAAGGAUUUCGGACAGCAACCUGAAAUGAGUCACGUUCGGAAGAAGACAGCAUCGAAACACUGCAGGUGGGCGCAGGUGAGCACUCGACAUGGCACUCCAAGUCUCAUCUUUACCAGCUGCAUUGAAAAGACACUUAUUAGAUCCAUAUCUAUAGUUCCACAGCUAAGAGUCCACA
Molecule: long non-coding RNA, 730 nt
Organism: Onychostoma macrolepis
Lineage: Eukaryota; Metazoa; Chordata; Actinopteri; Cypriniformes; Cyprinidae
Exons: 4
Source: RefSeq, a predicted model, not a curated record